Molecule: ribosomal RNA, 473 nt
Filed under: Dehalococcoidia bacterium
Lineage: Bacteria; Bacillati; Chloroflexota; Dehalococcoidia
Description: bacterial SSU rRNA
Rfam family: Bacterial small subunit ribosomal RNA
Source: RNAcentral
UCAGCUCGUGUCGUGAGAUGUUGGGUUAAGUCCCGCAACGAGCGCAACCCCUGUCGCUAGUUAGGAUGUCUAGCGAGACUGCCCCCACUGGGGUGAGGAAGGUGGGGUCGAGGUCAAGUCAUCAUGGCUCUUACGCCCUGGGCUACACACACGAUACAAUGGUCGGGACAGACGGUCGCGAAGGCGCGAGCCGGAGCUAAUCCCACAAACCCGGCCCCAGUUGGAAUUGCAGGCUGAAACCCGCCUGCAUGAACGCGGAGUUGCUAGUAACCGCAGGUCAGCACACUGCGGUGAAUACGUUCUCGGGUCUUGUACACACCGCCCGUCAAGUCAUGGAAGUCGGUAACACUUGAAGUCGCUGGGCUAACCCGCAAGGGAGGCAGGCGCCGAGGGUGGGACUGGUGACUGGGACUAAGUCGUAACAAGGUAGCUGUACCGGAAGGUGCGGCUGGAUCACCUCCUUUCUAGGGAGA